This is a non-coding RNA of Pelobates cultripes (western spadefoot toad), 270 nucleotides long. The record is from the annotation of a GenBank genome assembly. NCBI's taxonomy places the organism in Eukaryota, Metazoa, Chordata, Amphibia, Anura, Pelobatidae.
CAGGAGUGAAGUGGUGCUGGACUGCAGUUUUUGCAAAAUGGGCCACCAAGGGUGCCUGGAAGCAGAGAAAGGAUCGGCAGAGGUGCUAUCUGGUUUGAAGGAGGAGGUCUCUGCUUCUGAUCCUAUGCCAGUUCCUUCAGCUUCUUUGAGUGAGUACUGAGCUUGGGGUGCGCUAGUGGGCCAUAGAGAAAUCAGUGUGUCUAGGCAGGCAAGCGAGCAGGUUUUCUGGGGUCAGGGAGAAGUAGUGUGCUUGCUUAGGGCUGUUUAAAU